AACGAACGCUGGCGGCACGUUUUAAGCAUGCAAGUCGAAUGGCAGUGGGGGCAACCCCAUGAGAAUGGCGAACGGGUGAGUAACACGUAGGUGAUCUGCCUGACGGAUGGGGAUAGCUUGUGGAAACACAGGGUAAUACCGAAUGAGCUGACGAGACUUUGGUUUUGUUAGUAAAGGUGCUACGGCACCGCCGACAGAGGAGCCUGCGGCUGAUGAGCUAGUUGGUGGGGUAAAGGCCUACCAAGGCGACGAUCAGUAGCCGGCCUGGGAGGGUGUACGGCCAAACUGGAACUCAGACACGGGCCAGACGCCUACGGGAGGCAGCAGCUAAGAAUCUUCCGCAAUGGGCGAAAGCCUGACGGAGCGAUGCCGCGUGAUCGAUGAAGGUCGAGAGAUUGUAAAGAUCUUUUCUACAUGAGGAAUAAGUCUGGGAGGGAAUGCCUGGAUGAUGACGUUAGUGUAGGAAUAAGCCCCGGCUAAUUACGUGCCAGCAGCCGCCGUAA
RNAcentral lists this ribosomal RNA (503 nucleotides) under uncultured bacterium. Its description in RNAcentral is "partial 16S ribosomal RNA". It matches the Rfam family "Bacterial small subunit ribosomal RNA", at positions 29 to 523 of the family's 1533-position model. The record is from RNAcentral.